UGAGGAAUAUUGGUCAAUGGAGGCAACUCUGAACCAGCCAUGCCGCGUGCAGGAAGAAUGCCCUAUGGGUUGUAAACUGCUUUUAUUUAGGAAGAAUCCCCACUACGUGUAGUGGGUUGACGGUACUAAACGAAUAAGGACCGGCUAACUCCGUGCCAGCAGCCGCGGUAAUACGGAGGGUCCAAGCGUUAUCCGGAAUCAUUGGGUUUAAAGGGUCCGCAGGCGGACUAGUAAGUCAGUGGUGAAAUCUCUCAGCUUAACUGGGAAACUGCCAUUGAUACUGUUAGUCUUGAAUUCGGUCGAAGUGGGCGGAAUGUGUCAUGUAGCGGUGAAAUGCAUAGAUAUGACACAGAACACCGAUAGCGAAGGCAGCUCACUAGGCCUGAAUUGACGCUCAGGGACGAAAGCGUGGGGAGCGAACAGGAUUAGAUACCCUGGUAGUCCACGCCGUAAACGAUCAUUACUCGAUAUCAGCGAUAUACAGUUGGUGUCUAAGCGAAAGUGAUAAGUAAUGCACCUGGGGAGUACGAUCGCAAGGUUG
Molecule: ribosomal RNA, 541 nt
Filed under: uncultured bacterium
Lineage: Bacteria
Description: bacterial SSU rRNA
Rfam family: Bacterial small subunit ribosomal RNA
Source: RNAcentral